UUUCUUUAUUUCUUUAUUUUCAGUACCGAGAAUCUAAUUCAGGACCUUGUGCCUGCAAGGCAGGUGCAGCACCACUGAAUGAAAUCCCCAGCCCCAGAAUGGCAACAUAUUAACAAAGACAGAAGUUGUACAUUUGUCCAAACUGAUUUAACAUUGCUUCUUUGAAAUCAAGUGUAUGGCAAGAAAUAUAUGGCUUUAAAUAUCAACUUAGGGAGACACGCCUUCUCCCAACCCAGCCGCCAUCGCUCAAGCUCUGGGAGGUAGUCUGGGCCCUAAUCCACCUCGGGAAGGAGAUCCACACCUGCUCCCAACCCAGCCGCCAUCACUCAAGCACUGAGAAGCGUAUUCCUCGGGUGACAAAGUCUUAAGCCAGAGAUCCAGAUCCACCCUGUACUGUUUCUGUAGCUCCUCAGCCUGCUCUGUAUACUGUUCUCUCAAGUUCUGGGGCACACGAUGCCAGCGUCUGCUAAUUUCUACCAUUCUCUCCCUCAGGGGCAAAUGUUGUAGCUCCUCACUUGACCAUGAAUCUUGAUGAAAUUUGUGAUAUCCAUUCAUG
Molecule: long non-coding RNA, 556 nt
Filed under: Fukomys damarensis (Damara mole-rat)
Lineage: Eukaryota; Metazoa; Chordata; Mammalia; Rodentia; Bathyergidae
Description: lncRNA (ENSFDAG00000028662.1)
Source: RNAcentral